UGGGGAUAUAACUCAGUUCGUAGAGUUCCUGCCUCACAUGCAUAAGGCCCUGGGUUCAAUCCCCAGUACCUAA
RNAcentral lists this transfer RNA (73 nucleotides) under Marmota monax (woodchuck). RNAcentral's name for it is "tRNA.Val". It matches the Rfam family "tRNA". From Rfam's summary of the family: Transfer RNA (tRNA) molecules are approximately 80 nucleotides in length. Their secondary structure includes four short double-helical elements and three loops (D, anti-codon, and T loops). Further hydrogen bonds mediate the characteristic L-shaped molecular structure. tRNAs have two regions of fundamental functional importance: the anti-codon, which is responsible for specific mRNA codon recognition, and the 3' end, to which the tRNAs corresponding amino acid is attached (by aminoacyl-tRNA synthetases). tRNAs cope with the degeneracy of the genetic code in two manners: having more than one tRNA (with a specific anti-codon) for a particular amino acid; and 'wobble' base-pairing, i.e. permitting non-standard base-pairing at the 3rd anti-codon position. The record is from RNAcentral. Lineage: Eukaryota; Metazoa; Chordata; Mammalia; Rodentia; Sciuridae.